Molecule: non-coding RNA, 9123 nt
Organism: Momordica charantia (bitter melon)
Lineage: Eukaryota; Viridiplantae; Streptophyta; Magnoliopsida; Cucurbitales; Cucurbitaceae
Source: RefSeq, a predicted model, not a curated record
UGUUCUAUCUAUUUCGAUUUAAUUUCAGUUCUCUGUUCGUUUCAUCCUCCAAAAUUGUUUCUCCAUCUCAUCUUCUUCCGAAAUUGUUUCUCCAUCUCAUCGUCUUCUUCCUAGCAUUCGCAGUAGUCUCGGUCUGAGCAUGAUCUUCUCAUCAGUCGCCUUCGCUACUUCAACAGUACCCUGUUUGGCUGUUGGCAGCAAUGAGAAACUGAAAGCCGAAGCGUCAAUGGAAGUGCUCGGUCAUUGGGGGGUUAUUGGCCCCCGUUGGUCGCCGUAACCUCGUCGAAACCCUAGCCGGCUUAUCAUCGGAUACGGGGUGAUGGGGCUUGAAGCAGCGAGUAUAUGCCUGCUUAACUUCAGGCCUACAACUUCUUAGACAUUAAAAAGUCUAGUUCUUUGAGGGAUUGGCAGCAUCACCAUAAUUGGCAGUACCAAGGUAGAAGAGGGCGACCUUUGGCAACAACUUCACGGGAUUGAUGGUAGAAUGCUGGAGUUCAAAUUAGAUUCUCAUGACAAUAAUAUAACUGCAGACAUUUGGCACAUUGUGGUGUUCAGGUUUGACUAGGGAAGAUAUAUAGCUCAAGUUUUCGCAGCAUUGUUGCCUUAAUUUUCCUAUAGGUUAUCAUCUUCCUCACUCUUAAUUUAUUUGGAAUCUUAUGCUAUAUUUCUAUCUAAUUAUAAUAAUUAGAAAGUAAAAUGCAUUACUUCAUGGGUGUUUAUUGUUGCAUGUGUGAAUAUGUGACAUUUUUUUAUUACCAAUUUUGUUGGAUCAAAUGCAUGUGUGAUUUGUAUUAUAUUGCUUGCUCGCAAGAAGAGAGACAAUCAAUUCCCUUUGGAGUGAAAAUAACUAAUGGAGUCACUUCUUACUCGGGCUUAGUUGGCCAUCAGUUCAUUCAUGACUUGUGAACUAAAAUUCAUAUAUAUUUUAGAAUCUGGUAAUUUUUCUAGCUUGCAGUUUUUAAUUAUUGGUUUUCACAAUUUUUUGUUAUUAUUUUCCAUAUUACUAUUUGUACGAGCAAGCCCUCAUUUUCCUUAAUUCUUGCAAGUUAUGGUAUAUAUUGAUUGGCUUUGGUGCUUGGAUUGGUUUUACAAAUAAUUCUUUAAAUUAUAAUAAUUUGAGACAAUCUGAUUGCUAAUUGAAAUAUGGAAUAUACAUCAGACAUUUGUUUCAAAGAUCGAUAUCUAAUUCUAGCUCAUAUGACAUAUGUCAUUUACUAUGGUCUUCAGGGUUGUCUUUUUUUGCUACAACUGAUGGAUUGGUAGUACCGCUACAACCUUUUUUUUUUAACAAGAAACUAUUUCAUUGAUAUAUGAAAUAUGAUAACAAAAGCUACAAAAAAGCUCUCCAAUCAGAUAAGAGAGAGGCGUAACUAUAGUGAUGAAAUAGAGGGGAGCAUUUACACCAAGAUAUCACCAAAAAACUAUAGAAUCGAAUAAGAGAUGUGGGGGAGGCUCCUUAUCUUGAGAGAUUCUUAGAUUUCUUUCCAACCAAAUUGUCCAAAGAAAUGCCGAACAAAAUGAAGCCAUAGGCAAAGUUUCUUCUUUUUGAAGGGGUGACCGGUUAGGGUAUAGUCCAGAAGCAUCGAUAAAUUGGUAGGUAAAGCCGUCAACCAUCCAAAAAGAGAAAGGAGCUUUUGGCAAAAUCUUGGCUACAACUGAUGGUAUCGAGGUCAAAGGGGGCAAUCUUGGCAACAACUUCUCAUGGAUUGAUAAUAAAACCAAUCCAUAUUAUUCCAGUAGCAUUUGAGUUGGAAUAAUCUUUCCUGUGCUGAAGCUGUCUUGUCUGGAUGCCAUGUUUAAUUAAGUUUUGGCGGCAAUGAGAAAUUGAAGGCAGAAGCGUCGAGGUCAAGAGAAUUAAAAAUGGGAGUGUUCGGUCUUCGGGAGUUAUUGGCCCCCGUCGGUCACCGCGUCUCCGACGAGACCCUAGUCCGCUUGCCAUCGAAGCGAGCAUUUGGAUGGUCCAAUUCACAAAAGUAAUGCACGAUGACGGUGAUGUGUCAAGCAUUGCACUGUUACUGCAUAUGGACUGGUCAUGAUCGAGAUGGUGUGAUAGAGGUCCAUACUUAUUAUUCCUCGUAGUCCCGUUUUUUCCAUUUCCUUCCUUUUUUUCUAACAGAAAAUUCAUUGUUGCCUUGUCAAUAAUAGGGUGAACGAAUUAAUGUUUUCGAAAUAAAAAGAAAAAUCUUAUUAACUAUGUGGGAAAGGUCAUACCUAGCGGGGGAGAUCAGAUGAACCACUAGCGCCUGGGCAGCUUAUUAAAAGAUUCAGCAAUGCCCUUAUUCGAAAAAUUGGAAUCACUCGUUGGUGGGAGGUGGUGAAUUUAAAACCUAUUUUUUCAUAACUAUGUUGCUUGCCAAAUAAAAAUUUCCUGGUUAGGUAACUCGCUCAACUAAAUUUAAUCAUCUUUAUUACCUUUAAGUUUUAAAAGCUUUUAUCCCGUGACGUCUUGUAGGAUCUGGGGUGAUUGGAGCAGGCAGCCUUUGAAAAGUGACUGCCUGCCUGCUUAAUUCUUAUUGAAUCCGUUCAAUUUUGGCAUAUUAGGUGUCUUAGAGAUCAGGAGGGUAAGAAUAUUUUAGGCAAAGAAGAGCAAUCACGAACCUAGCUGAGCAGUAAAUGACAUCUAUUCCCAUUGAAUUUGAAGGUUUGAAGGUUUGAAUUCUCAUAUUCCAUAUUUGCCGUGCUACAAAAAAUAUUUUAGGCAAAAGAAAUAAAGUUUUAAGGGCAAUAGAUUUGUGGAAAACUCUUAUGGAAACUAUGGCAUAAGGUGUUCUAGGGUUUUAAGAUUUAUGGGUUUAGGAUUUAGUAUUGCUGUAGUUUAGGAAGCCUUAGCUGUAAGGACAAAGUGGUUGAGUAGUACGUUUAUAGAAAUGAUCAACAUUGGUAUAAGUUCGUACAUGGUAUUCCUGGUAUGACACAGAGCAAAUUGAAGAGGACGUAAAGAAAAGUUAUUAAAAGCAUUAAUCAAUGAAGCUGAGAUAGGCGCCAAUAAAACACUCUUAAUUGGAAGGUGGUGUCAUUGGCCAUUGAAAAUGGGUGUUUGGGUGGUUGUAACUUAAGGUAAGGCAAAGAGAGUAGGAUUUAGUGGCAAGUGUUGAGAAAAUAACUCUUAUAGAAUUCGAUGACAUUUGGUAUAAAUACAAAGAGGAAGCCUGAAGAAAGGCAGAAACUCUCAAACCGGUGAAAGAAAAGAAAAAUCAUUGAAAGCAUCAGGCUGUGAAGUUUAAAAGAGGAGCCAAGAAAACACUCUUAAUUGGGAUAUGUGGUUUCACUAAUUUAUCUAUUUGAAAUUGCCAGUAUGAGUUUAACUUAAUGGUUAUAAUAUGAGGCUAGUAAGGAAAAAUAAAAAUUAGUUUUGUUGAAUCAGGAUUUUUGAGAAUUUGCACUAGGUAAAACUUCAUACUUUUUGCUGAUGGUUAUUGUUUAUCUCACAUGCUUUAUCAUUUCUUUAGUAUUUGGUGGACGGUAGAUGACUGAGUUUAGUCAUUUUGCCUUUAUUUCACAUACGACUUUAUCUCCAACACUUUUCAUAAUUAUGUCUGGACUGCAGCUAUUAUAAUUUUCACGUAUACUGAAUCACUGAUCAUACUGCUUCUAGGGUAGUGUAGUUUUUGAUGGUCUAUUUUUUUUGUAUCCAAAUCCACGUUAUAAAAUUUAUGUUAAUCAAGUUGAUUUGAGCGUAACAUAUUUCAGAGUUGAUGAUUAUAAUUUUGUUAGAGAACUUUUGGGAGCAAUUAACGAGAAGUCUUCGACCAAACAGGUCGGAUUCUCAUUAUUGCACUAAAAUAAAGGAUGAUGGUUGUAGUUAAUUAGAUUAGCUGAAUUGUUUAGCACAUGUGCCCGUCUAGCUCAGUUGGUAGAGCGUAAGGCUCUUAACCUUGUGGUCGUGGGUUCGAGCCCCAUGGUGGGCGAUUUAUAUAUUUUUUCUAUUCAUUGUUUUCCUGAUUUCGUUUAACUAUCUUUCUUGUGCUGGAGCGUGUUAUCAUCUUCUUCCCACCGGUCACAGUCUCACUCUGAGAUCAGUCGCUUCCGCUACUUCCACAAUACUCUGCAAUGGGAAACUGAAAGCCGAAUCGUCAAUUGGAGUGCUCGGUCUUUGGGAGUUAUUGGCCUCCGUCGGUCGCCGUGACUCUAACGAAACCCUAGCCGGCUAGCCGGCUUGUUAUCGGUAUAUCUUAUCCAUAUGACUAACUAGUUUUCAUAGUUUACUUUUAUAAAGUGCAGCUGUCUUUCUAGGUAACUUCAAGUCAUUUUAUGAUUUACAAAAAUUUUAAAAAAUGAAAAUGAAUUCGAUUCUUUGUAACUUCAAGUCAUUCCCUAAGAAUGUGAAUUUUUCUUAUCUUACAAAUUGCAACUAUCUUUUCCCCCCAUAAAUAGUGUCACCAUAUUCCUACCUUUUCUCAUGGUUUCUCUCUGUCCCUUGUUGAAAAUUGGAAAUCUCUUCUUCUUUAUAACAAGUUGAAAUUUCCCCUGAAUAGAAACAUCAAUGACUGGAUCUUCUCUUUUGAUUAAAUCCCUAGCGCUUUAAGCCAUAAUGUAAACUGAAAGACGUGUAUUUUACAUAAAUAGAUAUUUUAAAAUAAACAAUUUUAUUUAUUUUAUCUACUUAUUAUUUUUUACAAUUUGUUAGUACAAAGAUAGAAAAGGACCAUUACAUGAUCAUGUUUAAUUUUUCCUUGUCAUAAAUUUUGCUUGGUUUUAUUUCUUUCUUGGCCUACACUACAAAAUAUUUCCUGAUAAUCAUGCAAUAUGUUGGUCUUACAAUGGUGCAGCGUUGUUAAUGUUAACCUCCCUUUCAUUUUAAAGAAAAAGAUACAUAUUGCCUAUAUGGUAAGAUAGGAUAGGCAAUGCCCUUGUGUGUAAAAUUAGAUUCACUUGGUGGGAGAUGGUGAAUUAAGUACCAAUAAUUCACAGAUAACAGGUCCCAAAAUAUAAAGGGUUAUAUUGUAUUUCACGGUGUGUUGCCUGUCAAACUUGUUCUUUGGAGAAAUGGUAGCACCUAGCAUUUAUUCCUUGUUUUUCUGAACAAAAUUUUACCGUUUAGAAAUCUUGAUCAUAGAUGUAUCAUCUCUAUUACCUUUAAGUUCUAGAAGUUUUUUUAUCUUGUGAUAUUGAAGUAUCUAGCUUCAACGAGGUAGCAGCCCUUGAAGAGGUAGUACAUGUCAACUUUAACUGUGUGCGUUUAGAGGUUCUGAGACAUUGAAAAAUCAAGUUCUUUAAGGGAUCAAAGCAUCACUGUAAUUGACGGUGCCAAGUUAAAAUAGGGCGACCUUAGAAGGUUAUGUAAUAAGUUGCUAAGAGGGCGACCUUUGAAGGUAUGUAUUAAGUUGCUUUUUAUUUUGGCAAUGGAUACCCUAUUUGUCAUUGCAUAUGGACCUAUAAAUACAAUAUAUCGUCAUACUUUAAUUAUCUCGAUAAAUCUGAACACUUCCAAUUAGUACUUGUGAGUUGCUUUUUAUUUUUAUUUCCUGUCCUUACUGCAUUGGUAUAUUACUAUGGUUGUUUCAUAUUCCUUUUCGAUUUUGUAAUGCAGAAAAUAUUCAGAAUGCUAAUAUUCGCCAAAGGUAGGGUUUGAGUGGUUUUAUAUUCGUGAUAUAUUAUUAGAGGUUAUAUAAUGGCAGUGUGCAUGGCAAAUCUUUCUUCAUUAGUUUAGUAAGAGAGCUGAAGGGUUAUUUGAUUUAAUUAGAAGAGACGAGAAAGUCACUAGUUCUUCAAAAAAGAAGAUUCAGGCAAGGGGGUCUGUGGAAACUCCCACUUUUUCUAGCAAAGGAGUCAACUCCACUCCCUACCGAUGCCUUACAUUUAGCAACAUGGUAGACUUUACAAUUUAUAGUGAGAAUUAGUAGAAGGGGGAUAAAUAGAAUGUUCUACAUUUGAAUGACGGGAGAUUUAGUGACAGAAGCUUUACUGGUUAUUGAAGAUGAAAAGAUUAAAAAAGAUGUUUUUGGUGAAGGUGAAACAAGUAAAGUUUUCUAGUUGGGCAGAGAAGCUACCGACCUUAUUUGAACAGGAUUUGUUCUAUAGAUUGUACAAUUGUGUCCUUGAGUUUUAAAGUUCGAAAGGUAAAGAAAGAUGGAGCUACAUUUAGUAUAGACAAUUUUAAUUACUUAUCUUUGAUUCUUCCAUGCUCCAAGUUGUCUGUGGAGGAACUCACAUUCUGUUGAUAGGUUUACUGAAAUGAUCAUAGAAAGGAAAAAAUAAAAUUGACUUUGUUGAAUCUAGUUUUAUUACUUAUCUAUUAACACUUUUCUUAAUAUUGUGUUAUACUCUUUACAUUCCAAUUCUCACAUAUACUGAUCGUUCUACUUCUAAACAAAUGUUCGGUGAUUUUGGAAAUUUCAUUUUGCUUAUGGUAUAGUGUUGAAAAGAUGUAGAUUCUUUUUUUUGUCCAAUUCAAUGUACACAAUUUAUGUCAAUCACUUUAAAUAAAUGAUCACACACGUCUUUGAGAUUUUAAGAUAAGUUGAUUUGAACAUAACACAUCUACAUUGCUAGAGUACAUUAUAGUUUACGUUGGAGAAUAUAAUUUUGAAAACAUGGAUGUGAUGUUACUUUUAAUCCAAGCUAAUUAUCAACAUGGAUCUGCCCGUCUAGCUCAGUUGGUAGAGCGAAAGACUCUUAACCUUGUGGUCGUGGGUUUGAGCCCCACAGUGGGCGGUGUAAAUGAUUUUGUCCAAUGGCUCUAUUUACCAGAGUUGGUAAUAAAUAAACAAAAUUUUAAAAUUAUAUAAAUAAUCAGUUUUUAGAUAUUAUAAUUAUAAAAAAUAAAACAAUUAAGUUAUUAUCAGCUUAAAUAUACCACUUAAUUCUCAAUUUGAUUCUUAAUUUUUGAAGACUUUUUUUUUUUUGAGUGUUCAAACAUCUACUUGAGGGAUCAAUUAGACACUUAGCUCAAAUUCUAAGAAACAAAAAAUGUUCACUAAAUACACACCUAUCUCAAAUCAUGUAUUUUGUCAAAAAAAAAAAAAACUAAUUUGUUUAUUUAUUUAUUAUUAUUAUUAUUUGCCAUUGGACCAGGUCAAAUUUUGACACGAUAGCACCAGGCUGUCAUUGUUUCUCUUUGACCAGGUCAAAUAUUGACAGGCUGGCAUCGCGUAAAGUAAAAGCAGAACUUCCCUAUUUAAACUACCAGUACCAGACUCCACUCCUCACGAGUAUCUUUACUUGUGGCGUAAGUAAUUUCUCUGUUCGUUUCGUCGGAAAUUGUUUCUCCAUCACAUCUUCUUCCUAGCAGUCUGAGAGUGAUCUUCUUCUCAGUCGCCUUCGCUACUUACUCCUGUUUCGCGGUUGGCGACGAUGAGAAACUCGGCUCUCCGGCGUCGGACUUUGAUUGCACGCCGUACACAGCGUGAGAACGCCCAGGCUAAAGGUUGUAACGCCGCCCAGGGAUUGCUUCUCAAUCAUGUUGUAAAGGAAAUGUAGAAACCAUUCUUAACGAAAAGGCUUAUUCAUUCGCUAAUUCUACUUGGAUUUUUCUUGGUAUGACCAUUUUAAUUGAGGUAAGCAACCAAUAUUUGCGAAGUUGAUGAAUUUCUUUAUAUCUAAUUAAUGAUACAGUUGAGAGAUUUUGUUAUAUGCCGAUGUAUCUCCUACUUACUCUUGCUGACAUCUUGCAAUAAUUUUUAAAAUGUUGUUUGUAAUUGUCUCUUUUGAUGGUUGUCUCAUUGCACUUUAUGGAAUUAACCGGUGAAACAUGGUUAAUACUAAAGCUAUUUUAUCAAUUUACAUGUGGAAAAAUUGACCAGGUUUGCUUAAUAGUUCUAAUAUGAGACUAGAAAGGAGAGGAAAAAAAAAGUUAGCCUGGUUGAAUGUGGAUUUUUUAGCGCCUAGCAAUUGUUGUUUUAAUAUCAGUUUGCUGUGUUUUCUUGAAUUGCCCAAAUGUCUCAUCAUUUCUCUAGAAUUUUGUGGAUGGUAGGUGAUUGAGUUUAGUCAUUUUGUAUUAUGUCUUAUUUCUGUAAUUCGUGUCAUGAGACCUUUCAUUUUGAUAUAAUAAAAAUAUACAAAUAGAUGAAUGUUCAAGGAAAUGAGACCUUUCCAUAAUUCUAUUUUGCAUGGCAUCUGUUCCAAUAUUCACGUGUGCUGAUCAUGUGCUUCUAGGCAAAUGUUUGGUACAAGGGGAUGAAUCAAAUGUUUUACAUUUAAUGAUCAAAAUCUGGGAUAUUUAGUAACAGAAGCUUUAGUGGUUAUUGAAGAUCAAAAGAUCAAAAGAAGAUAUUUUUGGUGAAUAAGAUGAACAGUUUGAAUGUUGAGGAAGAAGAGAGGAUGAAACAAGUGAAGUUUUCUAGUUGGGUAGAGAAGCUUGUUCAAAGGAGUUCUCUGAAAGGAAACAAUCACUUUAAAAGAAGUUUGCAUGGAUUAAGGAAAAUAUAAAGCUAGAAGGGGAUGCUCAAGGAGUGAAGCAUUGAACAAAAGAAAUUUCGGAACUGAAGGCAAAGAAAGAAAGCUUCAAGGGCAAAGGGGUGGUGGAGAAUUGAGACGAUGAACUUUUGCACGAGGUGUUUUAUAAUUUAUGGUUUUGGGUUUAGGCCUUUAGGCCUUUAGGGUAACGAAUAAUACAAGGCAAAAAAGAAAGACAGUUUUAAUGGCAAAGUGGUUAAAUAAUACUUUAUUGAAAUGAUGGGAAAUAGUAUUCCUGUUCCUGUUAUGACACAGCAACUCAAAGAGGAGCGAAGACAACAUUCUCAAACUUAAGCCAUAGUUAUUUUAUUGAGGUAUCUGUGGGGAGACAUUCUGUUGAUAGGUUUGCUGAAAUGAGGAUAGAAAGGAUAGAAGAAAGUUGGCUCUGUUGAAUCGGGAUUUUGGAGAACUUUCAGCAGUUGGAGGGCCAAUACCAGCUCAACUCAGGUUGGCAAUAUGAUUCAGUCAUUUCACCUUGCCUUGCCUUGCCUUACCUUUCUUAAUUCUGUUUCGGACCGUCCAUUCCAGUUCACAUAUUCUGAUCAUUUUACUUCUGGGAAAAUUUUAUUAUGUUAUUGAUAGAGGGGGUACACACUGAAAUAUAUAUAUAUAUAUUUUUUGAAGCACACUGAAACGUAUUUAUUUAGUAAAAAUUUAAUUGGUGCCUAGUAUAAGUAAAUCUAUAAACGAAUUUAAAUUAAUUUGUUUAUUUAUUUAUUAUUAUUACUA